RNAcentral lists this ribosomal RNA (442 nucleotides) under uncultured bacterium. RNAcentral's name for it is "partial 16S ribosomal RNA". It matches the Rfam family "Bacterial small subunit ribosomal RNA", at positions 338 to 795 of the family's 1533-position model. The record is from RNAcentral.
CCUACGGGAGGCAGCAGUAGGGAAUCUUUCACAAUGGGCGAAAGCCUGAUGGAGCAACGCCGCGUGCAGGAUGAAGGCCUUCGGGUUGUAAACUGCUUUUAUAAGCGAGAAAUAUGAUGGUAACUUAUGAAUCAGGAUCGGCUAACUACGUGCCAGCAGCCGCGGUCAUACGUAGGAUCCGAGCAUUAUCCGGAGUGACUGGGUGUAAAGAGUUGCGUAGGUGGCAUAAUAAGUAGCUAGUGAAAUCUGGUGGCUCAACCAUUCAGACUAUUAGCUAAACUGUUAAGCUCGAGACCGUUAGGGGUAACUGGAAUUUCUAGUGUAGGAGUGAAAUCCGUAGAUAUUAGAAGGAACACCAAUAGCGUAGGCAGGUUGCUGGGACGGGUCUGACACUAAGGCACGAAAGCGUAGGGAGCAAACGGGAUUAGAUACCCGAGUAGUC